GCGACUGUGGCGUAAUUGGUAGCCGCGCAGCACUAAGGAUGCUGUGGAUAAAUCCAUGGGGGUUCAAGUCCCCCCAGUCGCACCA
Molecule: transfer RNA, 85 nt
Filed under: Rickettsiales bacterium
Lineage: Bacteria; Pseudomonadati; Pseudomonadota; Alphaproteobacteria; Rickettsiales
Description: tRNA-Leu
Rfam family: tRNA
About the family: Transfer RNA (tRNA) molecules are approximately 80 nucleotides in length. Their secondary structure includes four short double-helical elements and three loops (D, anti-codon, and T loops).
Source: RNAcentral